UACGAGGGGGGCGAGCGUUGUUCGGAAUUACUGGGCGUAAAGCGUGCGCAGGCGGUUUGUUAAGUCCGUUGUGAAAGCCCCGAGCUCAACUUGGGAAUUGCAGUGGAUACUGGCAGGCUGGAGUACGGUAGAGGAAGGUGGAAUUCCCGGUGUAGCAGUGAAAUGCGUAGAUAUCGGGAGGAACACCAGUGGCGAAGGCGGCCUUCUGGACCAGUACUGACGCUCAUGCACGAAAGCGUGGGGAGCAAACAGG
Molecule: ribosomal RNA, 253 nt
Filed under: uncultured bacterium
Lineage: Bacteria
Description: partial 16S ribosomal RNA
Rfam family: Bacterial small subunit ribosomal RNA
Source: RNAcentral